Molecule: ribosomal RNA, 431 nt
Filed under: uncultured Pelagibacteraceae bacterium
Lineage: Bacteria; Pseudomonadati; Pseudomonadota; Alphaproteobacteria; Candidatus Pelagibacterales; Candidatus Pelagibacteraceae
Description: bacterial SSU rRNA
Rfam family: Bacterial small subunit ribosomal RNA
Source: RNAcentral
AACGUACGCUGGCGGCACGCCUAACACAUGCAAGUCGAACGCAGUAGCAAUACUGAGCGGCAAACGGGUGAGUAACAUGUAGGAAUCUGCCUUUUGGUCUGGAAUAACAUGAGGAAACUUAUGCUAAUACCGGAUAAGCCUUUACGGGGAAAGUUUUAAUGCCGAAAGAUGAGCCUGCACUUGAUUAGCUAGUUGGUAAGGUAAAAGCUUACCAAGGCAACGAUCAAUAGCUGUUCUUAGAGGAAGACCAGCCACAUUGGGACUGAGACACGGCCCAGACUCCUACGGGAGGCAGCAGUGGGGAAUCUUGCACAAUGGGGGAAACCCUGAUGCAGCGAUGCCGCGUGAGUGAAGAAGGCCCUUGGGUUGUAAAACUCUUUCGUCGGGGAAGAAAAUGACUGUACCCGAAUAAGAAGGUCCGGCUAACUUCG